Molecule: non-coding RNA, 98 nt
Organism: Tulasnella sp. JGI-2019a
Lineage: Eukaryota; Fungi; Basidiomycota; Agaricomycetes; Cantharellales; Tulasnellaceae
Source: the annotation of a GenBank genome assembly
GGGGUUCUAGCUCAUCGGUAGAGCGCUCCCUUAGCAUGUGAGAGAUAUCUCAUGUGGGAAACUGGGAGAAGUAAUGGGUUCGACUCCUAUGUACUCCA